This 240-nucleotide ribosomal RNA is filed under the name uncultured bacterium. RNAcentral's name for it is "partial 16S ribosomal RNA". It matches the Rfam family "Bacterial small subunit ribosomal RNA", at positions 111 to 334 of the family's 1533-position model. The record is from RNAcentral.
UAACACGUAAACAACCUGCCUUCAGGAUGGGGACAACAGACGGAAACGACUGCUAAUACCGAAUAAGUUCCAAGGGCCGCAUGGCCCAUGGAAGAAAAGGUGGCCUCUACCUGUAAGCUAUCGCCUGAAGAGGGGUUUGCGUCUGAUUAGCUGGUUGGAGGGGUAACGGCCCACCAAGGCGGCGAUCAGUAGCCGGUCUGAGAGGAUGAACGGCCACACUGGAACUGAGACACGGUCCAG